Molecule: long non-coding RNA, 855 nt
Organism: Maniola jurtina (meadow brown)
Lineage: Eukaryota; Metazoa; Arthropoda; Insecta; Lepidoptera; Nymphalidae
Exons: 2
Source: RefSeq, a predicted model, not a curated record
UUUUACUUAUGUCUUGUCUUGUCUUAGUGUGCUCAAUAGAUUUCAACCUAAGGCUGAGGUUAAGUAUUUUGACUUUGCUCAGACUUAAGACACAGUUAAAACGAGACAGAUUUUUGUAGGAGAUAUAAAUCUGUCUCUUUUUAGCUUGUAUGUCACGCUAGUCUUAUGCCUGAGCAAAUACAAAGUAGAUACCUACGCUCAAUAAUUAGAAUUCACCUUGAGAUAACAAAAGUAAAGGUCAUAGCACAGGGUCAUAGCGAGGCGAUCAUAAAGAUCCAUUCUAUUCGUGACUAAUUUCUGGCCGGCCAACUUAGAUCGCGCAUAUUUUAUGUGUUUGCACCUUCAAAUGUCCUGAGUUCAUGUUCCGAAGUUUCAUUUCAAUAUACAUCUCAGUCUUGUCUGCGGAUUCCAUACAGAGCUUUGAGUAUGAAGACUAGAUUCGUAUAAAAUUGUCAUUUAAGUGUCAUUUGUUUAGAUUACCUUAACAAUUAAAAAAAUCUCAUGACCUACUUUGGUAACCUACCAUUUAUUCAGAAAGAUUAACCUAUUACUAGAUUUAAGAGUCCACUCAAUUAGUCUAACAAGGUGAAAAUUUUAAAACCAUAAUUCUUUAUUACACAAUGCCUUCCUCUUUUAGUUGUUCCCCGUAGACUUCAGGUCUACCACCAAAGUCACGUUAAUAGCUACUUACAGUUUCGUAAAAUGAAAAAUCUUGCUAAGGCUGCAUUUUAGGCAAUAGCAGAAAAGUGGACUCUUAUAUAAUUGAGAUCGAGUAAUUUUGUCUAUAUUUAAGUAUUUUAUCAUUGUCAUUUAUUUUUUGUCAUAGUCAAUGUCGAUAAACUGCCACUUGGUCAA